UGUGUACUCCCUUCGUUCCAAAAUACUUGACUUCCAUUUGUCCAAAAAUGGAUGUACCUAUAUACUAAGACAUGUCUAGAUACAUAUAUAUUUUGACAAAUAGAAGGCAUGUAUUGUGCAACGGAGGGAGUAGAAU
Molecule: non-coding RNA, 136 nt
Organism: Triticum aestivum (bread wheat)
Lineage: Eukaryota; Viridiplantae; Streptophyta; Magnoliopsida; Poales; Poaceae
Source: Rfam